UACAACGUUUGACAUGUUUGAAUGAACCUAAAUGGGAAAAAAACGUUUUAUUUCGAAACGGCUGUGCCGCGCCCGGCAGAGUAUUUGGAUACAGCAUUCAGACGCGCUAACAACAGAAAGCUAAUGGAACAUAAAUGAUGGACUUUUUAGACCGAAAAUACAUCUGUUGUGGACCUGGGAUUCCUGGAAGUGCUUUCUGAUGAAGACAACUAAAGACAAUACCAUGUGGUGCCUGGGCUUCUUCCUGAGUGGAUUCCAGAUAGAAAGAAACAUAAUUCCUCUGCUUUCCUGCGCCAUUGUAGCAGAACUGUAUCCCGUGAUCUGUAUCCCUCUGGACGGAUUGGACAUUAUGCUGGAUUUCAAGCAGAAAAUUACUCGAG
This 380-nucleotide long non-coding RNA is filed under the name Salmo salar (Atlantic salmon). Its description in RNAcentral is "lncRNA (ENSSSAG00000092864.1, ENSSSAG00000102708.1)". Lineage: Eukaryota; Metazoa; Chordata; Actinopteri; Salmoniformes; Salmonidae. The record is from RNAcentral.